Molecule: long non-coding RNA, 485 nt
Organism: Zingiber officinale
Lineage: Eukaryota; Viridiplantae; Streptophyta; Magnoliopsida; Zingiberales; Zingiberaceae
Exons: 3
Source: RefSeq, a predicted model, not a curated record
GGUUCAGUUUGCGCCACGAAUACCCUCGUCGACUUUGACGAUCGAUUCUUUUUCUUCGGUGAAGCCGAGCAGGAAAAGAGUCUCGCGAGAUCGAAGACCUGCCGCCGAUCCAAGCAUCGGAAUAGCAGGCUGGCAAACUUCCCGUGGGAUUGCAGCUCCCAAGACAUGUCUGCGACAUCCGAAUCCUUCUGCCAUAGCAAUCGUGGCCUUUAUCUACAUCCAGGUGCGUCUUUUCAAUGCGCAGUCUGAGUAUGCAGAGAGCUUGGCUGCUGUUAAACAAACAUAUAUAAAGAUGAAGAAUCUGCUCAACUGAAGACCCUACUUCAAGAUCUUAAGAGUAUGUUUUUCAUUAAUUUUUUUGUUUGUUAUCAUCUAAGAGGAGUUUCUAUUAAUUUAUGUGCAGUGAAUUUGAUAAUGCUACACUAUUUGUUUUGUGCUUAGAAUUUGCAUGAACCAUAAACCAGAAGUUUGAACAAUAGUUAAUA